AUGAACGUUGGCGGCGUGGAUUAGGCAUGCAAGUCGAGCGAGAACCCCGCAAGGGGGGACAGCGGCGCAAGGGACAGUAAUGUGUAGAUUAUCUGCCCUCAGGUCCGGGAUAGCCGCGGGAAACUGCGGGUAAUACCGGAUGACAUCUCCGGAUCAAAGGUGUGAUUCCGCCUGAGGAUGAGUCUACAUCCUAUUAGCUAGUUGGCAGGGUAAUGGCCUACCAAGGCGAUGAUGGGUAGCGGGUGUGAGAGCACGACCCGCGUCAUUGGGACUGAGACACUGCCCAGACACCUACGGGUGGCUGCAGUCGAGAAUCUUCGGCAAUGGGCGCAAGCCUGACCGAGCGACGCCGCGUGUGGGAUGAAGGCCUUCGGGUUGUAAACCACUGUCAGAGGGGAUGAAAUGCAGGUGGGUUCUCCCAUCUGUUUGACAUAGCCUCAGAGGAAGGACGGGCUAAGUUCGU
RNAcentral lists this ribosomal RNA (463 nucleotides) under uncultured bacterium. Its description in RNAcentral is "bacterial SSU rRNA". It matches the Rfam family "Bacterial small subunit ribosomal RNA", at positions 29 to 506 of the family's 1533-position model. The record is from RNAcentral.